GUCGGGUGCGGAGGCGCACACCUGUAAUCCCAGCUACUUGGGGGCUGAGGCAGGAGAAUUGCUUGAACUCGGGAGGCGGAGGCUGCAGUGAGCCGAGAUCGUGCCACUGCACUCCAGCCUGGGUGACAGAGCGAGACUCCGUCUCAC
Molecule: unclassified non-coding RNA, 147 nt
Organism: Macaca mulatta (Rhesus monkey)
Lineage: Eukaryota; Metazoa; Chordata; Mammalia; Primates; Cercopithecidae
Rfam family: Metazoan signal recognition particle RNA
About the family: The signal recognition particle (SRP) is a universally conserved ribonucleoprotein. It is involved in the co-translational targeting of proteins to membranes.
Source: Ensembl